ACGCUCGACACCUACGGGGGCAGCAGUGGGGAAUAUUGCACAAUGGGGGAAACCCUGAUGCAGCGACGCCGCGUGAGCGAAGAAGUAUCUCGGUAUGUAAAGCUCUAUCAGCAGGGAAGAAGAUGACGGUACCUGACUAAGAAGCACCGGCUAAAUACGUUCACGACAGCCGCGGUAAUCUGAGCGGGCGUGGCAAGGC
Molecule: ribosomal RNA, 199 nt
Filed under: uncultured bacterium
Lineage: Bacteria
Description: partial 16S ribosomal RNA
Rfam family: Bacterial small subunit ribosomal RNA
Source: RNAcentral